Molecule: small nuclear RNA, 22 nt
Filed under: Arabidopsis thaliana (thale cress)
Lineage: Eukaryota; Viridiplantae; Streptophyta; Magnoliopsida; Brassicales; Brassicaceae
Description: snRNA_15510
Source: RNAcentral
UGUUCUCCAUCCCAUUUACCAG